AUUUGUUACCAUAUUAAAAAAAGAAAUGAAAAGUUUAAAAAUGGAUAACCUGAGGAUGGAUAAAUUUAAAAACAAAGAAAAAGUCCCCGACACGCGACCGUUGCUUUUCAGAAAUAUAAAAUGAAUUUCUGAACAGAAAAUCCUAAACGAAAAAACUCGAGAUUUUUAUGAGACACCGCUUCGAAGUAAGGUCAUUCCCUUCGAAACACUGCCGCUUAAUCAGAGCAAUUCAAUAAAGAGAUCUGAGUGGAUUAUAAUUCGCUUUGAAUCAAAGUGCGUCGUGUAACAUCAUACCACUACGAUCAGAUACCCGUUCAGAAGCACAUCAGACGGCAGAAUCACUCUGGUGACGUAAAACAGAGAACGGGCUUCCAAAAAACAAGAAUCUCUAAAGAUAGAAGAAAGAAAAAGGAAAUUUAGAAAAUUUAAAGACAGAAGAAAGAAAGGAUAAAAGCAUUAAAGAAACUUUAAAGAUAGAGAAGGAAUUCCAAGAAACCCUUUACUAGUGCACAUAGCGUUUGUAGAUGAUUAUUUAAACUUUCUCUUAAAGAAGAGAAUUAAACAGAAAGAUUUUGAAUGAAGAGAGAAGUAGACAGAAAUUUAUGACCUACACCAUAGCAGAAGGCAAGCAAACCUAAAGCAGUUCGUAAAAGAAUCAAAUGAGGGGUUCAGAGCUACCGCAACCUUUAUUGUCUGAAAACAGUUAUGAAACGCCUAGCAUGGACGCCAGAGAAACAGCUGGUACGUGCAAAAGACCGAAAUGCGAGCACAUCAAAGAGCCAUUACAGUUGCCCCAACUAGGCAAAAGGCAAUCACUCGUAACUCAUCGGCGUCCAACUCCAUUCAUAAAAAAUUCCGUAUACAAAGUUGAAAGGUGGAGAAACGAGGUGAUGGAACAAGUAAGUAACAGUAGCUUUCACUCUUCCCAGCAACAUAUGUAUCCAGAGAGUAGAAGACCAGGGCAGAGCCGUUUGCUGCAACGGGGCAGAAAUAUAGGAAACGGUAAUUUACUGCAGCUAGGUAGGACCCCAGGAAAUGAGACUCUUUGCAAUAUUCAUGGAUCAAAUAAGAGUGAAGAUACAACACACCCUACGAAAGGCACAGAACGCCGUGUUAUCAGGAAGAUGAAUUCGGAAUCCCAGUUGAGCGAACUGAAAAUGAAGCUGGCACGGGAUGGGGCGCAGAGGUCAUCUGCAUUUAGAGGUACAAAGAGUGACAGAUUUAGUGGCACGUUUUGAACAAUCUAGAGUUGAGUCUUUAUGUGUUAUAUGAUCAGCACACACUUUCCUUGGCGAAAAUCAGUACUAAUAAAAUGUAUUAAUUUCAUCAAACCAAACUGUAAAAUGAUCAAACAUAUCACUGUUUUUAAUGACCAAGUUGAGUACAAACUUAUUCAUAGUAGUAGAAAUGUUUUAGAAAAAGCUCGUUUUAGCAGCUUCAAGGUGCAUAAAUAACGAUUUUGUACUA
Rhopilema esculentum is the source of this 1467-nucleotide non-coding RNA. The record is from RefSeq and is a predicted model, not a curated record. Lineage: Eukaryota; Metazoa; Cnidaria; Scyphozoa; Rhizostomeae; Rhizostomatidae.